Molecule: transfer RNA, 72 nt
Filed under: Loxodonta africana (African savanna elephant)
Lineage: Eukaryota; Metazoa; Chordata; Mammalia; Proboscidea; Elephantidae
Rfam family: tRNA
About the family: Transfer RNA (tRNA) molecules are approximately 80 nucleotides in length. Their secondary structure includes four short double-helical elements and three loops (D, anti-codon, and T loops).
Source: Rfam by way of RNAcentral
GCCCUCGUGGCUAAAUGGUUAAGCCCAAGGUUGGUAACCUAAAGGUUGGUGGUUUGAACCCACCCAGUGGCU